GGCUGGUCCGCGUGCAGCGGUGUUUACACUAACAGAUCACACAGUCAGGGACAGGUGUAUUGCUCCUUCCCACUCCCACUGCUUCACCUGACUAGGCUUAA
Molecule: Y RNA, 101 nt
Filed under: Saimiri boliviensis boliviensis (Bolivian squirrel monkey)
Lineage: Eukaryota; Metazoa; Chordata; Mammalia; Primates; Cebidae
Description: Y RNA (ENSSBOG00000007171.1)
Rfam family: Y RNA
About the family: Y RNAs are components of the Ro ribonucleoprotein particle (Ro RNP), in association with Ro60 and La proteins. The Y RNAs and Ro60 and La proteins are well conserved, but the function of the Ro RNP is not known.
Source: Rfam by way of RNAcentral